Molecule: ribosomal RNA, 253 nt
Filed under: uncultured bacterium
Lineage: Bacteria
Description: partial 16S ribosomal RNA
Rfam family: Bacterial small subunit ribosomal RNA
Source: RNAcentral
UACGUAGGGUGCGAGCGUUGUCCGGAAUUAUUGGGCGUAAAGAGCUUGUAGGCGGUUUGUCGCGUCUGCUGUGAAAAUCCGGGGCUCAACCCCGGACUUGCAGUGGGUACGGGCAGACUAGAGUGUGGUAGGGGAGACUGGAAUUCCUGGUGUAGCGGUGAAAUGCGCAGAUAUCAGGAGGAACACCGGUGGCGAAGGCGGUUCUCUGGGCCUUACCUGACGCUGAGGAGCGAAAGCGUGGGGAGCGAACAGG